RNAcentral lists this ribosomal RNA (1341 nucleotides) under uncultured bacterium. Its description in RNAcentral is "partial 16S ribosomal RNA". It matches the Rfam family "Bacterial small subunit ribosomal RNA", at positions 28 to 1381 of the family's 1533-position model. The record is from RNAcentral.
GACGAACGCUGGCGGCGUGCUUAACACAUGCAAGUCGAACGGUAAGGCUCCAGCUUGCUGGGGUACACGAGUGGCGAACGGGUGAGUAACACGUGGGUGACCUGCCCUGCACUUCGGGAUAAGCCUGGGAAACUGGGUCUAAUACCGGAUAGGACCGCACCGUGAGGGUGUGGUGGAAAGUUUUUUCGGUGUGGGAUGGGCCCGCGGCCUAUCAGCUUGUUGGUGGGGUAAUGGCCUACCAAGGCGGCGACGGGUAGCCGGCCUGAGAGGGUGGACGGCCACAUUGGGACUGAGACACGGCCCAGACUCCUACGGGAGGCAGCAGUGGGGAAUAUUGCACAAUGGGCGGAAGCCUGAUGCAGCGACCCCGCGUGGGGGAUGACGGCCUUCGGGUUGUAAACUCCUUUCACCAUCGACGAAGGGUUUCUGACGGUAGAUGGAGAAGAAGCACCGGCUAACUACGUGCCAGCAGCCGCGGUAAUACGUAGGGUGCGAGCGUUGUCCGGAAUUACUGGGCGUAAAGAGCUCGUAGGUGGUUUGUCGCGUCGUCUGUGAAAUUCCGGGGCUUAACUCCGGGCGUGCAGGCGAUACGGGCAUAACUUGAGUACUGUAGGGGAGACUGGAAUUCCUGGUGUAGCGGUGAAAUGCGCAGAUAUCAGGAGGAACACCGGUGGCGAAGGCGGGUCUCUGGGCAGUAACUGACGCUGAGGAGCGAAAGCAUGGGGAGCGAACAGGAUUAGAUACCCUGGUAGUCCAUGCCGUAAACGGUGGGCGCUAGGUGUGGGUUUCCUUCCACGGGAUCCGUGCCGUAGCUAACGCAUUAAGCGCCCCGCCUGGGGAGUACGGCCGCAAGGCUAAAACUCAAAGGAAUUGACGGGGGCCCGCACAAGCGGCGGAGCAUGUGGAUUAAUUCGAUGCAACGCGAAGAACCUUACCUGGGCUUGACAUAUACAGGAUCGCGCCAGAGAUGGUGUUUCCCUUGUGGCUUGUAUACAGGUGGUGCAUGGUUGUCGUCAGCUCGUGUCGUGAGAUGUUGGGUUAAGUCCCGCAACGAGCGCAACCCUUGUCUUAUGUUGCCAGCACGUUGUGGUGGGGACUCGUAAGAAACUGCCGGGGUUAACUCGGAGGAAGGUGGGGAUGACGUCAAAUCAUCAUGCCCCUUAUGUCCAGGGCUUCACACAUGCUACAAUGGUCGGUACAGUGGGUUGCCAGUCCGUGAGGGCGAGCUAAUCCCGCAAAGCCGGUCUCAGUUCGGAUCGGGGUCUGCAACUCGACCCCGUGAAGUCGGAGUCGCUAGUAAUCGCAGAUCAGCAACGCUGCGGUGAAUACGUUCCCGGGCCU